Molecule: unclassified non-coding RNA, 278 nt
Filed under: Helotiaceae sp.
Lineage: Eukaryota; Fungi; Ascomycota; Leotiomycetes; Helotiales; Helotiaceae
Description: partial contains 5.8S ribosomal RNA, internal transcribed spacer 2, and large subunit ribosomal RNA
Rfam family: 5.8S ribosomal RNA (bases 1-71)
Source: RNAcentral
GUGAGUCAUCGAAUCUUUGAACGCACAUUGCGCCCCUUGGUAUUCCGAGGGGCAUGCCUGUUCGAGCGUCAUUACAACCCUCAAGCUCUGCUUGGUAUUGGGCCUCACCCGUCAGGGCGUGCCUUAAAAUCAGUGGCGGUGCCAUCUGGCUCUAAGCGUAGUAAUUCUCUCGCUAUAGGGUCCUGUGGAUGCUUGCCAGCAACCCCAAUUUUUUCUAUGGUUGACCUCGGAUCAGGUAGGGAUACCCGCUGAACUUAAGCAUAUCAAUAAGCGGAGGA